This 72-nucleotide transfer RNA is filed under the name Bos taurus (domestic cattle). It matches the Rfam family "tRNA". From Rfam's summary of the family: Transfer RNA (tRNA) molecules are approximately 80 nucleotides in length. Their secondary structure includes four short double-helical elements and three loops (D, anti-codon, and T loops). Lineage: Eukaryota; Metazoa; Chordata; Mammalia; Artiodactyla; Bovidae. RNAcentral also lists the same sequence under 4 other names. The record is from Rfam by way of RNAcentral.
UCCCUAGUAGCUCAGAUGGUAAAGCAUCCAUCUGUAAUGCAGAAGACCCAGGUACAAUCCCUGGGUGGGGAA